GUUGCAAGGGCAGCUGGGAGCAAUGCAGUGUGCACAGAGGUGGCACGGCAGGUUCAUUUGGCUCUACAGGUGGCCAGGAAGGUUCCCUGAAGUAGUGGAGUACCCAGAGCUGGAUAACAUGGUCUUGGGACAUCUCUUGAGCUGCUCUGGUGCAGACACACUUGAAAAGAAUGAAGAGCUUGUAAAAGAAAAAGCUGCUGAUGUCAUAGGCAGGGAGUUGGUUGGAAUGUUACAGGAGCCUUGCUUGGAUCCACAGCUGAAGUAGACACAAGAUGGUGAAGUGACAGGAUCAUAGAAUCACAGAAUCAUUCAGCACUAUUUAUAAGUGAUCACCGCUGAAUCGUUCAGCCUCUGGCAACGCCGGCAUCUGACCAGCGGUGGGUAAACAGCAGCUCCCGCCAUACAAUGUCUGGAUUUCCCCUCCAAAGGGUCCUGGAGAGCCCCAGGAGCUCCAGCGCUUCCCGCAUCACAGGAAAACAAAUUUAUCUCCAGAGCCCCCACUGAAAGAAAUGGAUUCACAGAAAUUUUGACCUGGAGUGUAGUUUAAUAGUAAUAAUAAUUUCUUGUAAGGUCAUAUUUUACCUGGAAUCAAGUCAAUGUCUAUAAAAAUGCUAUAAUGAAUUGACAAAAUGAUUCCUGUAAUUUUUUUCUGCUGUUUUUCUUCUACAAAGCAAUUUUGGUUAGCAAAGAGAGAUGCAAGUCCUGGCAACUCAAGUGCCGAAGCAUUGAAAGGCACAGUAGGGAAUUUCAUGGUCAGUGACAUACUUUUAUUUUAAAAUCAUGCUGGAGAACUGAGAAAAACACGGGGACAAAGUUUGCAGAUCAGUGUAGAAAAAGGCUUGUGAGCAGCUAAGGGAGCCUGAAAGCUGAACUUGUGCCUUGAGCCAUUAAUUCUCCAACAGGUGCAAUAGGGUGCAAAGGGGUGACCAGUUUUACCACUCCCAGUCUCUGGUGCUACUGGGACCUGCGUAAAAUUCCCCCAAAAAUUGUGUGUCAGUAACCUGCAGUUUGAGCAGUG
This is a long non-coding RNA of Passer domesticus (house sparrow), 1018 nucleotides long. RefSeq lists it as uncharacterized. The transcript is spliced from 4 exons. The record is from RefSeq and is a predicted model, not a curated record. NCBI's taxonomy places the organism in Eukaryota, Metazoa, Chordata, Aves, Passeriformes, Passeridae.